This 253-nucleotide ribosomal RNA is filed under the name uncultured bacterium. RNAcentral's name for it is "partial 16S ribosomal RNA". It matches the Rfam family "Bacterial small subunit ribosomal RNA", at positions 524 to 776 of the family's 1533-position model. The record is from RNAcentral.
GACGGAGGAUGCAAGCGUUAUCCGGAAUUAUUGGGCGUAAAGCGUCCGCAGGUGGCCUAUCAAGUCUGCUGUCAAAGACCGGGGCUUAACCCCAGAAAGGCAGUGGAAACUGAAAGGCUAGAGGAUGGUAGGGGCAGAGGGAAUUCCCAGUGUAGCGGUGAAAUGCGUAGAGAUUGGGAAGAACACCGGUGGCGAAAGCGCUCUGCUGGGCCAUAACUGACACUCAGGGCCGAAAGCUAGGGGAGCGAAUGGG